CUCAGUCUGUACUUUAACUCAGCACUCCUCCUUCUCUCCUGCAGCCAUGAAGCUCCUACCAGCCCUGCUGCUCCUCACAGCUCUCACUCUCUCAGGUGUUCAGUGUGAGAUUGUCCUGACAGAAUCUGAAGCGGUGGUAAAGAGACCAGGAGACUCUCACACACUGACCUGUACAGCCUCUGGGUUCACAUUCAGCAGCUACUGGAUGGGCUGGGUCAGACAGGCUCCUGGGAAGGGACUGGAGUGGUUGGGAUAUCAGUAUAGCAGCACUAGAUAUUAUGCCCAGUCUGUUCAGGGAAGAUUCACCAUCUCCAGAGACGACUCCAACAGCAAGCUGCAUUUACAGAUGAACAGCCUGACAGCUGAAGACACUGCUGUGUAUUACUGUGCCAGAGACCCACAGUGA
Conger conger (European conger) is the source of this 406-nucleotide non-coding RNA. Lineage: Eukaryota; Metazoa; Chordata; Actinopteri; Anguilliformes; Congridae. The record is from the annotation of a RefSeq genome assembly.